AAUGGGCGCAAGCCUGACCCAGCAACGCCGCGUGAAGGAAGAAGGCUUUCGGGUUGUAAACUUCUUUGACAGGGGACGAAAGAAAUGACGGUACCCUGAAAACAAGCCACGGCUAACUACGUGCCAGCAGCCGCGGUAAUACGUAGGUGGCAAGCGUUGUCCGGAUUUACUGGGUGUAAAGGGCGCGUAGGCGGGAUGGCAAGUCAGAUGUGAAAAUUAUGGGCUCAACCCAUAACCUGCAUUUGAAACUGCUGUUCUUGAGUAUCGGAGAGGCAGGCGGAAUUCCUAGUGUAGCGGUGAAAUGCGUAGAUAUUAGGAGGAACACCAGUGGCGAAGGCGGCCUGCUGGACGACAACUGACGCUGAUGCGCGAAAGCGUGGGGAGCAAA
This 388-nucleotide ribosomal RNA is filed under the name uncultured bacterium. RNAcentral's name for it is "bacterial SSU rRNA". It matches the Rfam family "Bacterial small subunit ribosomal RNA", at positions 370 to 772 of the family's 1533-position model. The record is from RNAcentral.